AAAAUUUGUAUAUGGCAUGUAGGCUCUUUUCAGAGGGAAAGAAAGGCAGUAGCUUAUUUAUCAUUUGGGGUAUAGAAGGCUUGAACAUCAGGAAAUGCCUGAUCCCACAUUAUAUAUAGCUAACAAGGCUGGACUGAUCUCAUCCUCUGAUCAUAUGCCCUUGAUGCAAGGAAUACAUCACAAGACACAAGAGUGUCCACUGUGGUGUUUGCCGGUGUUGUGAUUGCUACCGUGUCCAGCCAUUUUGUGGGCAUAAAGUACAUUAAAUGGCUCCCAGAGCAGAAGAGUACAUACUUAGUGGAAAAUGGAAGGAUGGGCAAUACAUGGAUAAUAAAAGGAUGAGCCAGUUUGGUCUAGUGCAGGGGUAGGCAACCUUGGCUCUUUUAUGACUCGUGGACUUCAGCUCCCAGAAUUCCUGAGCCAGCAUGGCUGUUGCCAUUCCUAUAUUUUUCUCCUUCUGGCUGUAUUUUCUUUUGUUUUCAAACUGGGAGUGAUUUGGGUGUGAUACAGAUCAAAGGAGUGUUCCAUAGGCCAUGUUAAAGUUUUCUUGAAUGGAAAGCCUAAGAGAUGACGAGAUUGCAAAGGAAGAUUUGGUUUCCUACGAGCUCAGGACCUUGUAUUUAAAUGAAACAUCAUAGCCAGCCUCACUGCUCAAUCAAGGCACUCAGGUGGUGCCAGGUAGAGAAGUAAGACCCUAGAGGGCCAUAGAAGGCCUUGACAGUUGAAGAACUUCUUCAUCAAACGUACUCUCCUGAGAGAACCAUCUGAUAUCAACAAACCUAGUCAUCUUUCAGAGAAUGGAAAUCUGGUUUUUUCAGGAGACUAGUGGCGAUUAAUACCUUGUCACCAGUGGUUUUGUUAGUGGUGAUUUGCUUGUGGUUUUUUUUUUCUUACUGUUUUACCUAUGUUUUCAGAUGUUUCAUCCUGUUGCUAGCUAUUCUAGGUUUCAUAUUGACAUUUUGACUAAGCUCAAACUGGGAAGAGAGAUGGCUGUAUAGAAAGUCAGGUUUCAUUUUGGUAGAAAAGGCUUAUCCAGCUGUCAAACUUAGCCAAAAGAAACCUGUUGGGACUCGCUUUGAAGCUCUUCUGUUUUUCUUGGAACGAGGUUAGUGAAGAAGAAAUAUAGAAUAAAAUCACAUCCUUUGAUGAACGGGCAGUCUGAAAAGAUCUUUCAGAAUGGCCUUCAGAUGUUGAUUUCUUCACAAAUUAUUAACUUGUCUUUUGGAACUGAUUAUGUGCGAGAGAUGUAACUCAACUGUAGCUGAAUCAUACUGGCUUUCCAAGACUUCUGUGACCAUGGUUUGAGGUUUAGUGAUUUCCUUUAAUUAACAAUCUCAACUUGGAAGUUGACCUUGCACUGUAACGAAUAUAUUCAAUCGCCUAGUAUUGUUUAGUUGCUUCCCACUUUUUAAUGGGCUCCCCAACCUUGGCAACUUUUAAGACUUGUGAACUUGAACUCCCAAGGAUACAACUUCUUGGAGAAGUCCCUAAAGUUGGAAAAGAUGGAAGGAAAAGGAAGGAGACAAGCAAGAGGAAAAUGGAUUCAAUUACAACGAUGAUGGAAGUACCAUUGGAAGACCUGAAGGACCAGGUUGGGGUCAAGACCUCCUGAAGUCUGUAUUUGUGGUUCCUAUAAGUCAGGGGUCUUCAA
Crotalus tigris (Tiger rattlesnake) is the source of this 1651-nucleotide long non-coding RNA. RefSeq lists it as uncharacterized. The transcript is spliced from 3 exons. The record is from RefSeq and is a predicted model, not a curated record. Lineage: Eukaryota; Metazoa; Chordata; Lepidosauria; Squamata; Viperidae.